This 467-nucleotide ribosomal RNA is filed under the name uncultured bacterium. Its description in RNAcentral is "partial 16S ribosomal RNA". It matches the Rfam family "Bacterial small subunit ribosomal RNA", at positions 28 to 507 of the family's 1533-position model. The record is from RNAcentral.
GACGAACGCUGGCGGCGUGCUUAACACAUGCAAGUCGAACGGAAAGGCCUCUUUCGGGGGGUACUCGAGUGGCGAACGGGUGAGUAACACGUGAGUAACCUGCCCUUGACUUUGGGAUAACUUCAGGAAACUGGGGCUAAUACCGGAUAGGAGCUCCUGCUGCAUGGUGGGGGUUGGAAAGUUUCGGCGGUUGGGGAUGGACUCGCGGCUUAUCAGCUUGUUGGUGGGGUAGUGGCUUACCAAGGCUUUGACGGGUAGCCGGCCUGAGAGGGUGACCGGCCACAUUGGGACUGAGAUACGGCCCAGACUCCUACGGGAGGCAGCAGGGGGGAAGAUUGCACAAUGGGUGGAAGCCUGAUGCAGCAACGCCGGGGGCGGGAUGACGGCCUUCGGGUUGUAAACCGCUUUCGCUCAUGACGAAGCUUUGUGUGACGGUAGUGGGUAAAGAAGCACCGGCUAACUACGUG